This 1489-nucleotide ribosomal RNA is filed under the name Lactiplantibacillus plantarum. RNAcentral's name for it is "bacterial SSU rRNA". It matches the Rfam family "Bacterial small subunit ribosomal RNA". The record is from RNAcentral. Lineage: Bacteria; Bacillati; Bacillota; Bacilli; Lactobacillales; Lactobacillaceae.
GACGAACGCUGGCGGCGUGCCUAAUACAUGCAAGUCGAACGAACUCUGGCAUUGAUUGGUGCUUGCAUCAUGAUUUACAUUUGAGUGAGUGGCGAACUGGUGAGUAACACGUGGGAAACCUGCCCAGAAGCGGGGGAUAACACCUGGAAACAGAUGCUAAUACCGCAUAACAACUUGGACCGCAUGGUCCGAGCUUGAAAGAUGGCUUCGGCUAUCACUUUUGGAUGGUCCCGCGGCGUAUUAGCUAGAUGGUGGGGUAACGGCUCACCAUGGCAAUGAUACGUAGCCGACCUGAGAGGGUAAUCGGCCACAUUGGGACUGAGACACGGCCCAAACUCCUACGGGAGGCAGCAGUAGGGAAUCUUCCACAAUGGACGAAAGUCUGAUGGAGCAACGCCGCGUGAGUGAAGAAGGGUUUCGGCUCGUAAAACUCUGUUGUUAAAGAAGAACAUAUCUGAGAGUAACUGUUCAGGUAUUGACGGUAUUUAACCAGAAAGCCACGGCUAACUACGUGCCAGCAGCCGCGGUAAUACGUAGGUGGCAAGCGUUGUCCGGAUUUAUUGGGCGUAAAGCGAGCGCAGGCGGUUUUUUAAGUCUGAUGUGAAAGCCUUCGGCUCAACCGAAGAAGUGCAUCGGAAACUGGGAAACUUGAGUGCAGAAGAGGACAGUGGAACUCCAUGUGUAGCGGUGAAAUGCGUAGAUAUAUGGAAGAACACCAGUGGCGAAGGCGGCUGUCUGGUCUGUAACUGACGCUGAGGCUCGAAAGUAUGGGUAGCAAACAGGAUUAGAUACCCUGGUAGUCCAUACCGUAAACGAUGAAUGCUAAGUGUUGGAGGGUUUCCACCCUUCAGUGCUGCAGCUAACGCAUUAAGCAUUCCGCCUGGGGAGUACGGCCGCAAGGCUGAAACUCAAAGGAAUUGACGGGGGCCCGCACAAGCGGUGGAGCAUGUGGUUUAAUUCGAAGCUACGCGAAGAACCUUACCAGGUCUUGACAUACUAUGCAAAUCUAAGAGAUUAGACGUUCCCUUCGGGGACAUGGAUACAGGUGGUGCAUGGUUGUCGUCAGCUCGUGUCGUGAGAUGUUGGGUUAAGUCCCGCAACGAGCGCAACCCUUAUUAUCAGUUGCCAGCAUUAAGUUGGGCACUCUGGUGAGACUGCCGGUGACAAACCGGAGGAAGGUGGGGAUGACGUCAAAUCAUCAUGCCCCUUAUGACCUGGGCUACACACGUGCUACAAUGGAUGGUACAACGAGUUGCGAACUCGCGAGAGUAAGCUAAUCUCUUAAAGCCAUUCUCAGUUCGGAUUGUAGGCUGCAACUCGCCUACAUGAAGUCGGAAUCGCUAGUAAUCGCGGAUCAGCAUGCCGCGGUGAAUACGUUCCCGGGCCUUGUACACACCGCCCGUCACACCAUGAGAGUUUGUAACACCCAAAGUCGGUGGGGUAACCUUUUAGGAACCAGCCGCCUAAGGUGGGACAGAUGAUUAGGGUG